Molecule: long non-coding RNA, 1589 nt
Filed under: Pelobates cultripes (western spadefoot toad)
Lineage: Eukaryota; Metazoa; Chordata; Amphibia; Anura; Pelobatidae
Source: RNAcentral
UGAAUAUUCUUCUCCUGCCCUAUUGUAUUCUUUAGAAUAUCAAUCAUUGUUUGUCCAUAAUAUACAUAGUUGGUGAAUUUUAACUGGUUUUUAAGUGUCAAACAAAUCUUUGUGUACUAAAUGUUUACAAAUGUCAAUCGUUGCAACUGACUUAAAUUGCAAUCUGCUUAGGUGCUGCAUGAAUCCUAUCCAGUCACUUGAAAAAAUAUAUAUAUUUUAAAACACAGCGUAGAUUUACAGAGUGAACAAUGCUUAUUCCCCCCCCCCCCAAUCUAAAAUUGCAUCACUAGCAUUUUUGUAAUGACCUUCUAUAAUUGUUAUAGUUGUUUUAAUUUGACAAGAUUAAAGAGGAGCUGUCUCUUCACCAGGAUUUUAGUAUUGUGCUGCUUAUCUCCUGCAUCUUGCAAGUUUAUGAUUGUGAGGUCUGCAAAAUAAAAUUAAAUAGAGCAAGUAACUCAAGACCACUCAAUUUUGGAACGGAUUGCCUCCAUCUUGCCCCUGUCAGUCAUUGUUAUAGGUUCCGCACUUUGUAUCUGUCAAUCAGCAGAGAGAGAGCUUAUAGAACACUCUCCUAGUGCAAUGUCUACCUGUUCAGGGCUCGAACUGCUGAAUCUUUAGUAUGCAUGAUUGGGGGAAAAACCAAAGGGAUCACACAAAAGUUUAAGAAAACUUAAUAAUUGUAAUCAUUUUCAACGUUUUUAUACAACAGUAUAAUUUCCACGGAAGUAACUGUUCCUCUUUCAAUGUGCUGUGCUUCUAUCUUUGACCGUCAUCACAGAGAGUCUGAUUUGCUAAGUUUGACAUUCUUUGUGACCGUCACUGAAAACAUCAUAGAGAGGUGCUUUAAGCUUUCAUAAAGAAUGUAACUCUAUGGUAUAUUGUUUUUACUGUCAGUUAUACCAGGGACAUAUUUCUCCAGCUCCCUAAUAUGUACAAAGUAGCACUGCAGAACAGACUAGAAAAAUAAUUUCUGCUAACAUCAUUAAGAAAAGAUAGAUGCACAUAAAAUUACAUGUUUAUUUAAGAAUUGUAAAAUUAAUUAACAUUGCUCUCUCUAUAAUUAACUUGCACCCAAAAGGAAAUAAAUUGUACAUUUGAAAGCUCUGAAAACCGUUUAUGUAAUAGAUUUUUAUGCAAGAUAAAAUACUGUAUUUUCUUUAUUCUAUAUUUUGAUAUGAGAGAGUCAUCGUCCACCGACAACCCGCAACUACUAUGAAUGGAGCACAUUUGAUAGGAACAAAAAUAGAGGGGUGGAAUGAGAUUGUAAACAAAUAGAUGUAUAUAUAAAAAAUAUGUAAAUGUAUGAAUUAUAAACUACUUUGUUGAAUAAUUGUAUUUUUUUGAAGAAUUCUGAAAGAUUAUUAACGAAGGAUGCUGCCAGCUUGUUGACCUACUUGAUGAGCGUUUAUGAACCGCAUUGUUUUUUGGUUCACUUGCUAACCUGCUGCAGUUCAUGCAGACAUUCUGUAAUGUUGAACCUGUGUAAACAUAAAACUUUUUUUUUCGCAAAUUACAUAUGCGUUGUUAAUUACUUCCCACUUUAUAGAUUCUUUUCUUAACCUGUUCCUUAUUAAAGCAGCACUAUCAUG